GUUCUUCUAGUUUAAUAAAAACAUUUGCCCUGCAAGUAAAUAAUGAAGAAAGUUUCUUCGAAGAACA
RNAcentral lists this transfer RNA (67 nucleotides) under Paralvinella hessleri. Its description in RNAcentral is "tRNA-Ala". Lineage: Eukaryota; Metazoa; Annelida; Polychaeta; Terebellida; Alvinellidae. The record is from RNAcentral.